AGAACCUGAAACCGUGUGCUUACAAGUAGUCAGAGCCCGUUAAUGGGUGAUGGCGUGCCUUUUGUAGAAUGAACCGGCGAGUUACGAUUUGAUGCAAGGUUAAGCAGUAAAUGUGGAGCCGUAGCGAAAGCGAGUCUGAAUAGGGCGUUUAGUAUUUGGUCGUAGACCCGAAACCAGGUGAUCUACCCUUGGUCAGGUUGAAGUUCAGGUAACACUGAAUGGAGGACCGAACCGACUUACGUUGAAAAGUGAGCGGAUGAACUGAGGGUAGCGGAGAAAUUCCAAUCGAACCUGGAGAUAGCUGGUUCUCUCCGAAAUAGCUUUAGGGCUAGCCUCAAGUGAUGAUUAUUGGAGGUAGAGCACUGUUUGGACGAGGGGCCCCUCUCGGGUUACCGAAUUCAGACAAACUCCGAAUGCCAAUUAAUUUAACUUGGGAGUCAGAACAUGGGUGAUAAGGUCCGUGUUCGAAAGGGAAACAGCCCAGACCACCAGCUAAGGUCCCAAAAUAUAUGUUAAGUGGAAAAGGAUGUGGCGUUGCCCAGACAACUAGGAUGUUGGCUUAGAAGCAGCCAUCAUUUAAAGAGUGCGUAAUAGCUCACUAGUCGAGUGACACUGCGCCGAAAAUGUACCGGGGCUAAACAUAUUACCGAAGCUGUGGAUUGUCCUUUGGACAAUGGUAGGAGAGCGUUCUAAGGGCGUUGAAGCAUGAUCGCAAGGACAUGUGGAGCGCUUAGAAGUGAGAAUGCCGGUGUGAGUAGCGAAAGACGGGUGAGAAUCCCGUCCACCGAUUGACUAAGGUUUCCAGAGGAAGGCUCGUCCGCUCUGGGUUAGUCGGGUCCUAAGCUGAGGCCGACAGGCGUAGGCGAUGGAUAACAGGUUGAUAUUCCUGUACCACCUAUAAUCGUUUUAAUCGAUGGGGGGACGCAGUAGGAUAGGCGAAGCGUGCGAUUGGAUUGCACGUCUAAGCAGUAAGGCUGAGUAUUAGGCAAAUCCGGUACUCGUUAAGGCUGAGCUGUGAUGGGGAGAAGACAUUGUGUCUUCGAGUCGUUGAUUUCACACUGCCGAGAAAAGCCUCUAGAUAGAAAAUAGGUGCCCGUACCGCAAACCGACACAGGUAGUCAAGAUGAGAAUUCUAAGGUGAGCGAGCGAACUCUCGUUAAGGAACUCGGCAAAAUGACCCCGUAACUUCGGGAGAAGGGGUGCUCUUUAGGGUUAACGCCCAGAAGAGCCGCAGUGAAUAGGCCCAAGCGACUGUUUAUCAAAAACACAGGUCUCUGCUAAACCGUAAGGUGAUGUAUAGGGGCUGACGCCUGCCCGGUGCUGGAAGGUUAAGAGGAGUGGUUAGCUUCUGCGAAGCUACGAAUCGAAGCCCCAGUAAACGGCGGCCGUAACUAUAACGGUCCUAAGGUAGCGAAAUUCCUUGUCGGGUAAGUUCCGACCCGCACGAAAGGCGUAACGAUUUGGGCACUGUCUCAACGAGAGACUCGGUGAAAUCAUAGUACCUGUGAAGAUGCAGGUUACCCGCGACAGGACGGAAAGACCCCGUGGAGCUUUACUGUAGCCUGAUAUUGAAAUUCGGCACAGCUUGUACAGGAUAGGUAGGAGCCUUUGAAACGUGAGCGCUAGCUUACGUGGAGGCGCUGGUGGGAUACUACCCUAGCUGUGUUGGCUUUCUAACCCGCACCACUUAUCGUGGUGGGAGACAGUGUCAGGCGGGCAGUUUGACUGGGGCGGUCGCCUCCUAAAAGGUAACGGAGGCGCUCAAAGGUUCCCUCAGAAUGGUUGGAAAUCAUUCAUAGAGUGUAAAGGCAUAAGGGAGCUUGACUGCGAGACCUACAAGUCGAGCAGGGUCGAAAGACGGACUUAGUGAUCCGGUGGUUCCGCAUGGAAGGGCCAUCGCUCAACGGAUAAAAGCUACCCCGGGGAUAACAGGCUUAUCUCCCCCAAGAGUUCACAUCGACGGGGAGGUUUGGCACCUCGAUGUCGGCUCAUCGCAUCCUGGGGCUGUAGUCGGUCCCAAGGGUUGGGCUGUUCGCCCAUUAAAGCGGUACGCGAGCUGGGUUCAGAACGUCGUGAGACAGUUCGGUCCCUAUCCGUCGUGGGCGUAGGAAAUUUGAGAGGAGCUGUCCUUAGUACGAGAGGACCGGGAUGGACAUACCUCUGGUGUACCAGUUGUCGUGCCAACGGCAUAGCUGGGUAGCUAUGUGUGGACGGGAUAAGUGCUGAAAGCAUCUAAGCAUGAAGCCCCCCUCAAGAUGAGAUUUCCCAACUUCGGUUAUAAGAUCCCUCAAAGAUGAUGAGGUUAAUAGGUUCGAGGUGGAAGCAUGGUGACAUGUGGAGCUGACGAAUACUAAUCGAUCGAAGACUUAAUCAA
This 2374-nucleotide ribosomal RNA is filed under the name Staphylococcus aureus. RNAcentral's name for it is "partial 23S ribosomal RNA". It matches the Rfam family "Bacterial large subunit ribosomal RNA", at positions 545 to 2925 of the family's 2925-position model. The record is from RNAcentral. Lineage: Bacteria; Bacillati; Bacillota; Bacilli; Caryophanales; Staphylococcaceae.